UGGGGAAGUUUGGACAAUGGGCGCAAGCCUGAUCCAGCAAUGCCGCGUGUGUGAAGAAGGCCUUCGGGUUGUAAAGCACUUUUGUCCGGAAAGAAAACCUCGUGGUUAAUACCCGUGGGGGAUGACGGUACCGGAAGAAUAAGCACCGGCUAACUACGUGCCAGCAGCCGCGGUAAUACGUAGGGUGCAAGCGUUAAUCGGAAUUACUGGGCGUAAAGCGUGCGCAGGCGGUUCGCUAAGACAGAUGUGAAAUCCCCGGGCUUAACCUGGGAACUGCAUUUGUGACUGGCGGGCUAGAGUAUGGCAGAGGGGGGUAGAAUUCCACGUGUAGCAGUGAAAUGCGUAGAGAUGUGGAGGAAUACCGAUGGCGAAGGCAGCCCCCUGGGCCAAUACUGACGCUCAUGCACGAAAGCGUGGGGAGCAAACAGG
RNAcentral lists this ribosomal RNA (429 nucleotides) under Bacillota bacterium. Its description in RNAcentral is "Firmicutes bacterium partial 16S ribosomal RNA". It matches the Rfam family "Bacterial small subunit ribosomal RNA", at positions 355 to 776 of the family's 1533-position model. The record is from RNAcentral. Lineage: Bacteria; Bacillati; Bacillota.